RNAcentral lists this long non-coding RNA (1210 nucleotides) under Pogona vitticeps (central bearded dragon). RNAcentral's name for it is "lncRNA (ENSPVIG00000018912.1)". Lineage: Eukaryota; Metazoa; Chordata; Lepidosauria; Squamata; Agamidae. The record is from RNAcentral.
UCCUAACAGCUGAUCGGCGGUUCCAAAAUGGCCGCCGGGUAAAAAAAACAGGUUUUAAUGCAUUCCUAUGGGCUUUUUUAUUUCGCAUAGCGACGAAUCCACAUAGCAAUGAUUUUUCCAGAACAGAUUAUCGUCGCUAUGCGGGGCACCACUGUAUCUAUAUGAGGCCGCUGGGUGGGAUCAUCAGGGGGUGUGGGGCAUCGUGCCAUCAGUACGCUAAUGACACUCAGCUCUACAUCUCCUUUUCUCCAACCACAGUGGAUGCCGUUCUGUCCCUUCAGCGCUGUCUGGAGACUACUGCAGUGGAUGCAGGGGAAUGGGUUGAGGCUGAACCUGGACAAGAUGGAGGUCCUGAGGGUGGGUGCCCCCAUCAUCGACGGUUUGGGAAACUCCCUUUCUUUUGGGGGGUGACUGUCACUGCGAAGAGUGAGGCUCGCAGUUUGGGGAUCCAUCUGGACCUGGUGCUCACCAUCGAAACUCAGGUGGCAUCAGUGGUCCCCUCUGCCUAUUUCCAUCUUUGGCGGAUUGCCCAGCUGUGUCCCUAUUUUGAUGCUGGGGCGCUCACCACUCUAGUCCAUGCACUUGUAAUCUUGAUAUUAGACCACUGUAAUGCACUCUAUGUGGGGCUACCUUUGAGAUUGAUGCAGAGGCUUCAGAUGGUGCAGAAUGCGGCGGCCAGAGCUCUUAGUUGGGUGAGAAAACAUCAUCAUAUCUCUUCCACUCUGGCCGCUUUGCAUUGGCUGCCCCUUCAUUUCCGUGUAGAUUUCAAAGUUUUAAUGAUUACGUAUAAAACCUUAAAUGGUUUAGGGCCUCAUUAUCUAGCAGAAUGCCUCCUCCCACCUAAAUCUACCUGUAUCACCCGAUCUAUUCAGGAGGUGCGACUGAGGAGCCUAUGGCCAAGGGACGCCCGGAAGGAAAAAAUAAGAAACCGGGCCUUCUCGGCAGUGGCUCCUCAUCUUUGGAAUAACCUUCCUACAGAGAUCCGUAUGGCCUGCUCGCUGGGUAUUUUUAAAAGUCAAUUGAAAACCUGGCUGUUUAGGCAGGCCUUCCCUCCAGGCACUACUUGAUUUAUUUUUUCUUUUUCUUUUCUAUCUUGAAUUAUUGUUUAUUGUUGUUGUAAAUCACUGUUACUUUUAAAUUGUUUUAUUCACUUGCUGUCAGUCACCCAGAGUAGUCUAUGACUAAAUGGGCGGGNNNNNNNNNNNNNNNN